This 441-nucleotide ribosomal RNA is filed under the name uncultured bacterium. RNAcentral describes it as "partial 16S ribosomal RNA". It matches the Rfam family "Bacterial small subunit ribosomal RNA", at positions 338 to 795 of the family's 1533-position model. The record is from RNAcentral.
CCUACGGGAGGCAGCAGUGGGGAAUAUUGCACAAUGGGGGAAACCCUGAUGCAGCGAUGCCGCGUGAGUGAAGAAGUAUUGCGGGAUGUAAAGUUCUAUCAGCAGCGAAGAAGACAGACGGUAUCAGACUAAGAAGCCCCGGCUAACUACGUGCCAGCAGCAGCGGUAAAACGUAGGGGGCAAGCGUUAUUCGGACUUACUGGGUGUAAAGGGAGCGUAGACGGCGGUGCAAGUCUGAAGUGAAAGCCCAGGGCUCAACCCUGGGACUGCAUUGGAAACUGUGUAGCUAGAGUGCUGUAGAGAUAAGUGGAAUUCCUAGUGUAGCGGUGAAAUGCGUAGAUAUUAGGAGGAAUACCAGUGGCGAAGGCGGCUUACUGGACAUGAACUGACGUUGAUGCUCGAAAGCGUGGGGAGCAAACAGGAUUAGAUACCCCAGUAGUC